GCAAUUCCACCUCUGUAUCCCCCUACCACAAUAAAACAGGCUACGUAAGCAGUGCUUAUUUAAGGCCGACACUGAUUUGAACUUUUACUUCACCUGCUGAAAAGAUAUGCAAUUGUAUAAAAGGAGCUAUCAAAAUGAGUAAUUUAACAAAGUGACUACUGAGCACACUGUAUGAUCAAUUCCUUACAUCUUUCAGCACCACGGCCCUUCGAGGCACUGGCGGGCCACCGGCCGCUGUUUGCGGGUGGAACGCACCUAGCUAAAUGAGAAAUGGGAAAAUGGCAUUACUACCACACAACUCGGAUAGCUUUCUAUCUGAGCGAUGACAGUAAAACAAAGUUUCAUGCAUGAUAAGCGGUAUGAUUUUUAAGUAUAGAUUUUUCUUUUCUAAACUUUAUUCCAAUAUAGGUCACCUUUAUCCAAUACCAUUGUAAGAUGUUUAAUGACUGAUUCCAAUGUAAGCUAUAGAAAAUAAUGUCACAGAGAAAGAGGUUUUAGUAUUUUGUGUUUGUGUUUUUAUAGAAUUGCUGCAACCAUUAUAAGAGAGGGUUUCUGCAAACUGUGCCAGUCAAGGGGUUAAAUUUGAAUUAUAAUUCAACAUUUUUAAUUAUAAUUUAAUUCAAAUUAAAUUAUAACUUACUUCUUUGACCAAGCCCUGAACAGUCAGCAGCGUCGUCUCCUCGACCUCUGCCAUCUCCCGCAGAGGGACGAGCAUUGACUCGGGACAUAUUAAGCCCCGAGCCUCUGCCUCCAGGUGGGCGGGGACUUGGACCGGGGCAGCAAUGUAGGCCACGGUCUGAUGCCUUGUCAGCAUUGUUCUACUUCUAAUAUCCCCGUAACUGCUCCACCCAAAAUUUUUUAUCCUGUAAGACUUCCCCUCCUCUAUCCCCUUAGCCAAUUCCUCAAACAUUAUAAAUUUAGUUGCCCUCUUCCCAUCAGACACCCCAGCGGCAUAGUUGGUCAGUGUGGUGACGGCCAAUGCCUCCUCCUCUGAGAUGUUCCACUCCUUCACCUUUAUCGUCUCUCGCAGAAUCACCACUUUGAAGGUGUCGGUGUACAGCUUCUCUGUUCUUUUGUUGAAAGCCAUUUUCUGAAAAUACAUACAAGAGAAAAAAAACAGUUUUUAGAGGCAAGUUUAAUAUUCAAGCUAAGAUUAAAUAAGUAAAAGCACACCCUAGUAGCAUAUAAAGUUAAAGAACGACCCAGAUAAUAAAGAUAUCACGUUGUUGUCCCCUCCUGCCAACAGAGGGCGCCCCCCUCUUUUCGCGUCUAUUUAAGAGGUGAAAUGAUGCUGUUACAGAAGUUCCGGAGUUACUGCUGCAGACAGUGCGUGCAUGCUGCAUGGGAGCACGACGGUCUUAUCCAACGGCCCUUUUAACGUCCAUCGCAAGCAGCUGUGUUCAGUAUUUUAAGUGACUCCUGAAGUUAGUUUAUUUGCUCUGUGCUUACAAUUCCAAACAACGGUUGGUAAAGGCUACUGUUAACAUUAGCAUAGAUAAGACUAGCUCCGUUGAAGUAGGCCAGUUAGACCUCCCCCGUCCACGAGGCAGACGCUAACGGAGCAUAGCAUGUGGCGCAUUCCGCAAAGAUAACUAAGACAGAUCUUGCUUGCAUCAAAUGCUGCUUUGAGGGUCACUCAACACGGAUGCUUCCUGUUGCAUCCAGGAGGCCACCGGACCACUCACCACAGGAGCUGAUGCACAUUCUUCAGCUGAACUUUACACCGUUGUCCCACCAUCCACUGAAUUGAACACCAUUCAGACUCAUGGCUGUAUCAGCAGUGACAUGCGUGUGGUGUGUAGAGACUCCAACGGUUGUGUCAGUGUUCUCUCGCUGACGGCGCCGGGGCUAGAGACCACGGCCCAGUGGAAGGCUCUGAGGCCUGGAUCACAGUCAUCUCCUUCUAGGACACCCAGCUGCUCUACUCAGCAAGCUGAAAGGCUGGGACCCCAGGAUGGAGCUCUCCUCUCCCACUUUCACCAGCAAGAGAAGAUGCUGCUGCUGCUGCUGCUGCCUCAGCACUACACUUCCAGACGGUCUGUCCAAAGGCUGCAUCCCACAUGGCCGGUGGAACUACGUGCUCUUUAGCACAGGGGUCCAGGACCUCCUUGUCCCCGUCUGGGAGGGUCCUGAACCCCACGGCCUGGACCCCCUUGGGGGAGGGGGGAAUUAAUUUGGCCUUUUCAAAUUGAAAUAAUAAAUGGAAAGGCAUGGCUUGGACAAUCUCUCCAAAGGCUAAUGCCUCCUUUGGGGUCAUUUAAUAACUGGAGGAGAGACCUUAGCUGCUCCUUCUGGCCCGCAUAUGCAUGGCGCUUAUAGGGAGGCCAACCUCUAGCUGUGAGGUUGGCCUCCCGGGAGAUACCAAGGCCCGGGUCUCUGCCUCCAGGGCGUACACAAACAAGCGUGUCUUGUUGACUGGAGGAGAGUCCAUAGCUGCUACUUUGGCCCGCAUAUGCAUGGCGCUUAUAGGGAGGCCAACCUCUAGCUGUGAGGUUGGCCUCCCGGGAGAUACCAAGGCCCGGGUCUCUGCCUCCAGGUGGGGGCGGGGACUUGUACAGGGUCAGUGAUGCAUGUUUCUGUUGCAUGUUGUUUCAUGUUUUGUUGGUUUUAAUAAAUCCAGUUUUCUGACUAAA
This is a long non-coding RNA of Gadus morhua (Atlantic cod), 2633 nucleotides long. RefSeq lists it as uncharacterized. Lineage: Eukaryota; Metazoa; Chordata; Actinopteri; Gadiformes; Gadidae. The record is from RefSeq and is a predicted model, not a curated record. The transcript has 5 exons.